CAAAACCAUCCGGGUCGGAAAAUUUUAAGUUUAUUGUCUUCAUCCACACUCUUACAGGUAUAGUCCCUAACCCUUUUCCCCAAUUUUUUUGAGUUAAGUUAAGGGAAGGAGUCCUAUGCUUUAAUUUUGAACUAACAACUGAAAACCCUCAUGCAUGUAACUCAAACCUAGAAUCUAAUGAAGAGAAAAUUAGAUAGAAGUAGAGGGCUGUGCUAUAUAGCUUGGUGAUUGAAAAUAGGAGCUUAAAACGGGAAUUUGACUCCAGGUAUGUAUGGCUAACCUUGAUUCUUGUGAAAUCGCCUUGCUUGGUACGUGAAUUGUUUGGUAGUUGAUAUCUAUAUUGGUUAUUUGUGAGCAUCUUGUGACUGGUUUGAACUGUGAAUACACUUCGUGGUAAAAGUGGAAUAACGAAUGAUCGAAGGAAUCCGUAAAUGGUGAAACAUGGCUAUUUGUGAUAACAAUGUACUUGAAAUAUUGUGGGCAAUUGUGGUAACUUGAAUUGAGUACGAAUUGUUGAAAGUUAUGAAAUUGGUACUAAUAGUUAUGGAAACACUUGUAAGACUAUUGUGGUGGUGUCUUGAGGUAUACUUGUUGUUUAUUUUUGUGACUUGCUGUUUGGUUGUAUUUGUUGUGAACUG
RNAcentral lists this long non-coding RNA (638 nucleotides) under Nicotiana benthamiana. RNAcentral's name for it is "long non-coding RNA (NBEN_LNC021997)". Lineage: Eukaryota; Viridiplantae; Streptophyta; Magnoliopsida; Solanales; Solanaceae. The record is from RNAcentral.